Molecule: ribosomal RNA, 454 nt
Filed under: uncultured Porphyromonadaceae bacterium
Lineage: Bacteria; Pseudomonadati; Bacteroidota; Bacteroidia; Bacteroidales; Porphyromonadaceae
Description: partial 16S ribosomal RNA
Rfam family: Bacterial small subunit ribosomal RNA
Source: RNAcentral
ACGGAAGGCAGCAGUGAGGAAUAUUGGUCAAUGGUCGGAAGACUGAACCAGCCAAGUCGCGUGCAGGAAGGCGGUCCUAUGGAUUGUAAACUGCUUUUGUACGGGAAUAAAGUGGGGGACGUGUCCCCUUUGGACCGUACCGUAAGAAUAAGGGUCGGCUAACUCCGUGCCAGCAGCCGCGGUAAUACGGAGGACCCGAUCGUUAUCCGGAUUUAUUGGGUUUAAAGGGUGCGCAGGCGGAGGAUUAAGUCAGCGGUGAAAUUCUCAUGCUCAACAUGAGAACUGCCAUUGAUACUGGUCGCCUUGAGAGAUGUCGAGGAUGGCGGAAUGUGAUGUGUAGCGGUGAGAUGCUUAGAUAUGUCACAGAACACCGAUUGCGAAGGCAGCUGUCCAGAGAUCUUCUGACGCUCAGGCACGAAAGCAUGGGUAUCAAACAGGAUUAGAUACCCUGGUA